GUUAUAAUAAAAAAUAACAAAAUUGUCCUUAGAACCAAACAAAACCUAACUUUUCUCAUUCAGAAGAUAUCUCUCUCGUUCAACUGUUCAAGUUUCAUAAAAAAUGAAUUCUUGAGAAACCCACACCGCCCACGUCGCCGCCGGUACAAGACUCGUUCGUCCCACCAUCCACGUCGUCGCCAGAGACCGUCGAGUUUGUUUUCAGCAAUCCAUCUUGAUCUUCUUCAUCUAACUUGCUUCUCUUCUCUUGAAUCUUGAGUUGGUGUUCGGUUAUGGCUUGAAGUAAUAUUGAAAUGUUGUAAUUCACUAUUUCUUGAAUCAGUAAAAGAUCACCUAAAGGUGAUUUAUUGUCGAAACUAUGACAUCAUCAAAAAAUGGCGACGAAACUGAAGUGCGAAUGAGGCAUAGCUGAAUUCCGGUGAAUUUGAGCACCAUCAAUGAAAAGUUAACAAAAACUCAACGUGCUCACAUCGAAUGCACCCCAUUCAAAUGAGCGAUGAAUAUUUCUAACAACUUCUCAAUCUCAGGUGGUUUAUUAUGGGAGUUGGUAAGUAGAUGGGAUGUACGUAGUAGGGGAUUUAGGGUUAGGGAUAGAAUAGUUCCCUUUACUCCAGUUGAUGUUUCUUUUGCUCUUGGACUGUCUAUUGUUGGUAAGUCUCUAGUAGUAGAAGAAGAUCAACAAUGUGAAACAUUAGAUUUAUUUAAAGGGGCUGAUAUAACCAUUAACAAUAUCCACAAACAACUUCGUUACCAUAAGAAAAAAUUAGUUAAUUUUGUUAGACUUUA
Long non-coding RNA from Lathyrus oleraceus (garden pea), 786 nucleotides. RefSeq lists it as uncharacterized. Lineage: Eukaryota; Viridiplantae; Streptophyta; Magnoliopsida; Fabales; Fabaceae. The record is from RefSeq and is a predicted model, not a curated record. The transcript has 4 exons.